This 468-nucleotide ribosomal RNA is filed under the name uncultured bacterium. Its description in RNAcentral is "bacterial SSU rRNA". It matches the Rfam family "Bacterial small subunit ribosomal RNA", at positions 20 to 507 of the family's 1533-position model. The record is from RNAcentral.
UGGCUCAGAGUGAACGCUGGCGGCGUGCUUAACACAUGCAAGUCGAACGGAUGAAAUAAGCUUGCUUAUUUCGUUAGUGGCGCACGGGUGAGUAAUGUAUAGCUAACCUGCCCUUUAGUGGGGGACAACAGUUGGAAACGACUGCUAAUACCCCAUAUUCCUUCUUAUCACAAGGUAAGUUGGGAAAGAUUUAUUGCUAAAGGAUGGGGCUUUAUGGUAUCAGCUAGUUGGUGGGGUAACGGCCCACCAAGGCUAUGACGCCUACCUGGUCUGAGAGGAUGAUCAGGCACACUGGAACUGAGACACGGUCCAGACUCCUACGGGAGGCAGCAGUGGGGAAUAUUGCACAAUGGAGGAAACUCUGAUGCAGCAACGCCGCGUGGAGGAUGACGCAUUUCGGUGUGUAAACUCCUUUUAUAAGGGAAGAUAAUGACGGUACCUUAUGAAUAAGCACCGGCUAACUCCGUG